CCCCGGGGCUGGGCGGGCUUCGAGGCCGUUACGUGGCUGCUGUUGCCACAGCGUUAAGCUUAAACGUAAUCCCGCUGGUUUUUCUUAUGCUUAGAGUAAAAGCUUUUCUUUUACUGAGAUGUAAUAGUUUUGCCGAUGCUCUUAAAAAUGGCUUUACAAGUUUACAGAGAUUAGAAAUACAUUUUUCUGGCGUCAAAAAUGGGGCUGUCGUUUAAUUUAAAAAGAAGAUGCAAACGAGCUGUUAAACCCGGUUAGCAAGCGCUUACAGCUUCUAGACCAGGGUGUCAAAGUUACAGCCGUGAGCUAGACACCUGCCAGGAGAAUUCACAUGGUCCGAGGUCCACUGCCCACCCACAGCAGUCUUUCAGGAGUUUCGUCUUUGAUUAGCUUGCUGUUACCUGGCAUCAGAACUGAUCAAGGAGUACUUCCCUGGGCACUCCAGAUCUUUUGGGCCACAUGAGGGAAAAUAAAGACAAGCAAGGACUCUUUAAGAGCAGACUGAUUUCAUUCCAGGAGGCAGGACCAGAAGAAGGUGAGCAAGGUCUGGCCGUGACCCUCAGCAACAAAUAUCAACUGAUUUCUCUGCAAAGGAUCACAGGGUUUGGCCUCAGUGGAAGGGCGUGAGCUUUGUGGAUGCCCAGGACUGUACAGGUUGACUGUGAUAUUCUUCUCUCUGUUUGCAACGUGGAUAUAUCUGCUUCAGUAUACACCAUUCUUUAAAAGUUAUCAACCUUGGAAAUAAUGUCUGCCAUCCCCUGGUUCUCCAUAUAAUUGUCCGUGUGCUAGAAGAAGAGAUUUUAAGGAUAGACAACAAAAAAUAAUUUCUCUAUUUUUCUCAUCCUUCUCCUAAUUCGGGGCCAUAUUAUUAGCAAUUCAGUAUGGUGCAUAAGCAAUAAAUAUUAUUCCAUGCCUCAGAUCUGAACAGCUGGUUCUCCAGAUUUUGUGCAGAACUGUUUUACAACCUGUUUGCUUGGCAUGCAGCACUUCCCUACUAAAUUAUUCACUUUAUUCUGUGGCCAAGAGAGUGGAUGCUUGUGACAUGUCAAAUGAAAUUCAAUCACUAUGUCUGAUAUAAGCAAACUCUCAAGACUUGUCUCUACCAGGAAUGGAGCUUUUGAUAAUGUGACCAUCUUCUGUCAGACUAUCAUUAGCACUCCCAAGGGAGACCUUGAUAAAGCGAAGGCAAGAUCCUCAUCCUUAAAUGGCAUUGUACUCUCUAUCUCUAGGGCACUUUAGAUCAGUUUGGGGUGAGGAUGAAUGGGGCACUGUCUGUACAUAAGAAUCAGAAAAGCAAAAGCUAGUUUGCUCCUGGGAAUCCACACCAGAAACCACUGGAGUGAAAAGGAUCUCUUGAGUAAUCCUGGUGGGAUUUGGGGCUUGCAUGGAUCCCCUUCAAGAGAUAGUGGACAAAAGGACAUAACAUAUUUGUGGAGAGGAACAUCAUCUUCUCUAGUAAAAUAUGUCUUGAUUGGGGCCAGUCUCAUAGGUUUUGAGGUCUGACUUUGGAUUUUUGAAUCUUUAGGCUGCUGACACUAGCCGCUAACCGUGUCAGUUGCCUCAGUGUGGGAGGCACUUAUUUUUCAGUCUUACAGUCAGAGUGUAAGGAGUGGGGUGGGGUGUAAAGGACGGGGUAGUCGUAUUGCCCCUGUCACAGGAAGGGAAGAUUGCAUGCUCAAAAAAUUCCAAAGUGGCAUUGUAAAAUUCAAACCCCAAGAUUCCAGUUUUCCUGCAAAAUUGUAAAUGUAGCGUGGGAACUGUGUAUGUAACAUUUGUUCUACCACACAGCAAAAAUCCAUAGGACAAAGGAGAUUUGAUAUAUUUUUUCUUCCACAGGUGGGAAAAAAGUAGUCUAUUUUAGUCCCUCCUCUUCCUCAAAGAAAAGCUUGAACUAUCUUAAGUAGAAAAAAUGCAGAAAAAUUGCUUGUUGUCACAGACAGACUAGAAAUAGUACUACUGAUGAAUAGGUACUUUUAAAGCACAUCAAAACUGGCUGUAUCAGGUGCUUCAAAGAAAAAAAAUCUGCUCUAAUUACAGAAAGACUGUAGCAGAGUUUUCAAAAAAAGAAACACUUUCACUCUUGUAAAAGAGUUUUACUCUUUCACAAGCUGUAUUAGCCAGUCAAAGAAGAAAGAGAAGACAUGAUAAAUAAACCACACAUAGAUUUGUGUGGAUCAGACGUUGGAUUUUACUAAGAAAUGAUUUUCCAGAAAGACUUUGGUGUUUUGACUCUAGAAAAAUGUCCAGAGAAGGCAGCUCCAAACCAUCUCAAAAUUCAGAGCAACUUCUUACAGAGGAUAAAGUGGCAUUUCCCAGAGCAUUGAAUAGUGAAGCUUGGCCAAGACAAAACAUGAGGCAUGUCUGGACUGCUAAAGGUAUUAGCGUGUUAUAUUAGCAAUAGGUAUUUGGGUUAUUAGAUGAGUCUUGUUCUCCUGAAGAGAGAGUUCAGUUUUGGGCCUGUUGUAGCAGGUACAAGAGCCUGUUGACCGUGCAUUGGUGUUGCUCUUCGGCCUGUUUCUGGUACAUCACAUGAUAGCUCUAGUUCCCUGCACUGGUUGUCAUUUGUCACAGCCUAGUCUCCUAGGAUUUGCUUUCACUCUUUCACAUUCCUGUCCUUGUGCCUGUGUAUCGUCAAUCUGACCUUGAGUCGCUAUGUGCAAUUCCACGUUGCAUUGCUGUGUAUAUACUGGCUGAAGAGCUCAUGUGUUGCUAGACAGGUCUGAGCAGAGCUUGAAGAAAGAACCGGUCAUCCCUAUAAACCUCAGAUUUCUCUUGCCAUCCUUUGGUCAGAGAAUCGUGAAGUUUCUUGGGGUUCAGCCAAGUUUCCUGAGGUUAACAAAUUCACCUCAACUUCACCUAAAUUGCAUUCAGCUGUAUAUUAUGCCUGAUACAUGGUUAGGUGAUAUCGCAUGUUGGCAUAAUGCCUGUAGAUUGUCACUUUUUUGGGCCCCUUUCCUUUUUCUACAUUAGGAAUGAAAAAUUUUCACCAUAUUCCUGAGCCUGAAUGUGACACUCUCUAUACUAGAUCAGAUGAUGGAGGAUGGGUGGCAGGAAAGACUGCAGCUAGUAGGUUUGUUUCUUUUAAAAGAGCUCAAUUGAGAACAAGAGCCAGACUGAAAGUAUGCACCCCUUGUGGUCAUGCAAGAGUCAGGCAGAACCCUGGGUACCUGCUCAUCCAUCAUUUCAUGAUUUUUGAAUAUCCUUUUCAAAUGUCGCUACGAGAACCGUCUUCCAAUCUCAGUCUCAGCUGUGCUAUAAAAUAACUUUCUUACUCCUACUUAUUAGCCAUGCAUACAUACAUCUAAAGAUCCUGUUAGCCUUUUAUACUACCGCACCUCAUCAAUUUUUUAUUUUCAUUUUAAAUUAUAACAAUGCUAUUCUGUCUUUUUUCAUUAUAAUGCAACAGGGCUGGCUGAGGCAAACUUAACAGCAAAUCUUUCCUAAUAUUGCACUUAUGUUUCUGCUAGGAUAAAUAAGACUCACAGAAGUCAGCACAGGACAGCAAUUAACACGUGGCUGUGAAGCAGAGUGUCCACUGAUCCAAAUUCCUUCUCUGUUUCUGUUUCAAGGAAGCAUUCCUUAUGGGAAGCUGUGUUUUCUGCCAUUCAGUCCAUCAUUAUACCCAUGACACAGUGCCAUGAAUAUGCUGUAAGGCUAUUUCCUUGUCUGGUAUGAUGAAGAGCAAGUUUUAACACCUCCUUGAUCUAUUUUCCCUUUAUAUCGCUAAUAUGACUGGCUAAUAUUGAUGAGAACUAGUUCUUUCUUUAUGCUGUUAUAAAGUAUACAAGGAUGUUUGGAGCAUGUGAUAGAUGAGAGCUAUGCUUUUCUGCAUAUGGGAGAACAUAUCUGUUCUUGAGUCUCAAAGCACUGCCUAUUUUUAGACAGGAUUGAUAGUACAUAAUUAUUUUUAGUCUUUGACUGAAACAGUUCUUAGAUGCAAUGCAUAUUUCUGUUUGAUGUUCAGUAGCAAGUACUUAUUUAUACAGGAGAAUGCAUAACAGUAUACAAUAUCAAACUAUGAACGUGUACACAGGGCUGCUGUUAGAAUCUCGUGUUUGUAUACAACAAAUAUAUCUUGUCCAGCUCUGCACAAAAAUGUGAAGCCUAUGCCAAGCAGGUUUAUUGAAAGGGUCACAUGGUCAUAGCCCAUUUGGAUGAAACGACCAGCAAGUUUAAGAAGAAACAGAAUUAAACUUUAACAGCACUCUACUUGCGUGGCAGUGAAAUCCAACUCUUAUAAUUCCAGUUACAUUAUCUUAGAAACAUACUUCUACUCUGUUUUAAGCUAGAGAAGGAAUUUAUCUGAAGCAUCACCUGUAAGGGACGUCAAGAAGUCAUCUCUCCUUUGCCUGCUCUAAAGCAACAAGGUCUGAACAACUCCAAGUGAUGUAUUGUUUUAAAAAUUGUAUAUGCAUGCCUGAUUGUCAAGGGAACAGUUAAGGUUAAGCACUAUUAAGUUUCCUACUUUCAGAUGUCAGAGUACAUAACUUGAGCAGGUCAGUAACACAUAGUAUAUGAUUUGGAGUAAGAGAAAGAUGGAACUGGAAAAAGGAAUCACAUCUGAAAGUAAAUUAGAGCUGAAAAAUGAUCCGAGAAACAAUGUGAUAAAUACUUAUGAAUCAAUACUUCUCAACACAUUGUUUUUGCACAUUAUGAUUUCUUAUUUCAGCCAGCCAUAAUGUAAACUCCAUCUAAAGCUAGCAGUUAUUUUCUUGCACUUUCAGUGAACAAAGACUGUUGAAAUUAAACUGGUGCAGAAUUAACAAUGCAUGCUGACUGUUCUGGUUAUCACUUCUGUUCUGAUCUGCAUUAGUACUGUCUAGGGAACACAAACAGUAGUAGAUGCAGAGCACCUGUAAUUAUUACUGCAAAUUACUAAAUUGAGCCUGCCAGAAACGAAAAUGGAGAGCUUGCUUGUUAAUUUAUUUCCUCAAAUGCUUUUGUUACUUGUGCAUAUGGCAUGACAAUAGGCCAGAUAAAGGAAAGACAGGCACAGAAGAGAUUCACUUAGUGCAGUGAAUGAUAGAUGAUGUACUGUUAACAAUUUGGGCAUUGCUAUUCUACAUGUACUGGAUCUGAGGAAUACCACAAUUAUUAGGUGCCAACGUCUCAAUAAAAAUUGUUAAAAUGUUCUAAAAAUAUUGAAAAAUGAUGGCAAUUAAAAAAGACUUAUUUCUUUAUUACAAUUUGCAAGUGAGGGAACUUGUGGAGGAUUCUUGUCCGAGUUGGUUCAUCCUGGAAUAGAAUAGUUCCCUUUACUUGCCACUGGCUUGCAGAUUGCUAGUUUGAAAGCAGCGUCUGCAGGAUGUACCUGUCCCUCUGUGAGAAGCAAACUUCCACUCCUUUGGGCCUUAGUCAGCACAGCUAAAUGAAAGGGAACAAAAGCUUCACAGAGCAAGAGAAGAGUGUCAUCUAAUUGUGCUUCUGAGCUGCAGUUCAGUUUCUGUUCUGCUUCCAAAGUUACAUAUCUAUGGACUGCUCUUCUGCAGGACAGUUUACAAGGUAAUUAUGUUAAUCAGCUAUAAAAUCCAGUGACUGAUAAAAUCCCCCUUUUUCCCCUUUACUUUUAUGAAUGGGUAUUUUUAAAUACAUACAUUUUCAAACUGGAUCCAGCCUAAACCAAAACUCUGGAGUGUUUUCAUCUGGUAUCUGGAUUUGGACAAGUUCAUUAUUAUAUGUAUCUGAAUUUAGGUAUUUGUAUGACAAACAUUAGACUCAAGCACUCUAGAACUUUGAGUGAAUUUGGAUCCUAUUUUAUUUGUUUGUUUGUGAUCAUGCUUUUCCUAAACAAAACUUUUAUCUCCCUUCCAGGACAUUUCAGCUGAGCCAGUGCAGAGGCAAGAUUAGCAGUCAUGAUCAGCAUCUACCUGAUCUUGCCUGUGCCAGGUUGUAUCCUCUGGUCAGCUUUAAACUCAGCUAGAAAUGAGACUCCCUGCAGCACAGAGGCGAGAGUUCGCCUCGCCUCCCAGAAUGAUCAUGCCAAUGUGCCUCUGCCUUGCAUCAGCUGAGAAGUGAAUCUCUUUGUGAAGGAUGUGGACUUUAUACCCCUAAUUUUUAGUGUACUUUUCCCUCUUGAAGCAUCAAUGAUAGCUAAUAGAAAUCGCACAGAGCCCCUUUAAAAAUCCCACAUCUCUGAAAUGAGUAAGAAAUAAAGUACAGCAGGAAUCACACUAGGUAGGUGAUGUUCCAACAGAGCUGAGUCCUUGGAGAAUUAGUCUGGUGAUUAUAGAAUGACUGUAGCCGAGUGUCUUUUUAAAGCAGGUAAUUUGAAAUUAACCCUCUUUUCCUUAUCUAGUUAAUACAGUCCAUUGUUCCGAGUAUAUGGCUCAGGUUGCUAUCUGAUACUUAAAAUGUAGCAUUUCCCAGAGUGUCUCCUGAUCAGUUUAAUGUAAUUCGAGACCCUUUCAUUCUUGAAUGCUACAAUUGCAAUGAGAUUAGGAGGCAGAGUGGUUAAAAUGAGUUUCCAUUGCUAAAAAAUGAUAUCGGUAGAUAAUUCAGGAGAACGUCUCAAAAGAUAAAAAAAUUAGAAGGCUGGGAGGCUGAAGGUAGUCCAUAUUGAGAGACUGUUUGCUGGCCAAAGCAAUCAUGGACUUCAGCUUCUUCAAGCUGCAGUCUCUUUCCUUUCUGAUGAUGUGCCGGAUGUAACAUGAAAGGGUCCCAGGUCAAGUGUUGCUUGAUUAAAAUGGGUUAUAGAAAAGAAGUAGAGUCAGAGCUUGCCUUAUUCUACUCUGUGAGACUCACCCUGCCUGCCAGGUGAACAGGCAGCAGAGCUAUUAUCAUUCAAAGAGCAAUAAGAUGUGUGAUUUAGGUUUUUCAGGUCUCUGCCUUUUAUUCUCUAAUAAUAGAAAUCAUUAGGAAUCCACUGAAAUAUUCCAUUUAUCACAGUAAAUUUAGAUGACUGGUGACAUUAAGUGCUGUUAUGGGUCUGGAUCAUGAUUACUGCCAAGCAGAGUCCUGUUCUGGCUGAGUGAAUAGGCAUUAACUCCAACAGCUAGAUCAUUUUCCGUCAGGGCUUUUGCAUAAGGCCCAGUUUUUCUAGCAAUAGGGUGGGUAGGCAAGUGACCAGGAGAAGUCUGCCUCACGUCUGGGAGUGAAUUCAGGAUCAAUCUUCAUGCUUUUGCUUGGGUGACUCAAAAGUCUGAUCUGUUACUUUCAGAGCAGAUGCUGAUACCCUUACUAAAUUCCAGUUUACUCUGCUAAUAACCCAGUUGAAAUCAGUGAAACAAGUUAAAAAGCACAACUAAAUAGGAGUAUAGCAGUGUUUUACUGUUUGUGUUCAUGGUCUGAUCCUACAGAAAUCAUCAAAUUUUCUCCCCAUUGUGUGCCAGUUUUUACUCUAGGCUGUAAUUGUUUUAAUGGCUUCCAGACAUUCUUUCGGGCUGUUUCAGCUCACAGCUUUAAUUGUUCGUCUGUCUGAGCUUUAAUUUUCUUCUCAAUACAAGGAAACUACACUCCCAACUAACAACAUCCAGAAUUAUCACUUAACGGUAAGUGUAUUUCUCUUCUGUCACACAGUUUAGGUCCAAUCUGCCGUAGCAGUCUUCCCCUGGAAUUUGAGCAAAUAUCAGUCUUUGACUCCCAUCCUCUCCAGACAGGUUUUCAGCUUGACAGCCAAGAAUCAGGUAGCUUUCAACGUAAGUUCACUGUCUCGAGUUCCAAACACUGGCUGUACAAAUUGCAUGUUCAUUAUGUAGAAUAAAACAAUUUAUAUCCACUGUCAGUAGAUACAGUGCUUCAGUGCACACUGUUUGGCUUGAUGUAUUUGAUAGAUUGAAACCUGCUGCCUUCCAAAUGUACAAUUGCUUGUCCCACUACAUGUUCCUUGUGUCUCUAAGCACUUGCCUGCUUAUCUUGCAGAAUGAAGUAGGGCCAUUUUAAAUUCUGAGUUUACCCAUUUUAACCUGGAUAGAAUGUGACGUUUUGUUGUAAUUAAGCGAGAAGAUGGUAUCGAGGAGAAAAGCAGCUAUAAAUAGACAAGAAUAAGAAAUCAUUUUAUCUUUAAAUAAAACAAAAUGAAAGCAUAAAUAAAAGAAACAAAUUUGUUUGUCUUGGUGGUAAAGCUCAGGCCUCUGUUUCUUUAAGACUGCUUGUCAAAAAUUAUAAAUUCAUGCAGUUUUUCUACUCUGAAACACUGGCAAGGUACAUUUUUAUUAUGACUUAUUUUACAAAUUCAAGACCAGAGCCUGCAAUAUGUACUCAGACGCAAUUAGUAAUCAAGGAAAGACAUCUCAUUUACGACUAGGAAAUUGUAGUGCUUAUUAUGUCCAUUUAGCAACUGUACACAGAAAAUCCCUGAUCAUUAGGACCUCUGACAAAAGCAGAGUAAAGAAUAAGAGUCAUAUUUCUUGAUUUCUAGUACCUUGUCAUCUCGGAGCUUUAUUGAUGCACCUUGCCCUCAAUAACAGUCAAAUACAGAAGUCUAGUCUUUACAGUACCAAAGAUUCAAAGCAUCAGUGGAAGUGGUAGUUAUUGGGGACUCCAGUUACCUAGCUAGAGGUGAGCAUGAGAGGAGACAUCUUCCAGCUUUACCAUGGAUGUGGAUGCGGCAUGUCAGUGGGAUUUCCACAGGUCAGAUCCACUCCAAAAGUUACUAGUUGUAUUUGUUUUUUGAACUAGUUGUGUUUGUUUUUUGGGGGCUGGGAUACCUUCCGUUUUUUGCCCAUGGCAUUUUCCUCUUCUCCAGGCUAUACUGGGCAUUUUUGAUGGAUAGCUGUCCUACUGUGUAUUUUAAGAUCCCAACUAGUCACUACAACUGUGGAUGUAAACAGAAAAACUUAGGACAUUUAGUUGUGUGGAGGUGUGAAAGCAGAGCACAAAUAGGCACUGUGUCCAGAGUAAGAAACGGCCCUCCAAAAACCUGCUAGUAUGUGGGGAAACAAGCUGAUCUGUGUAGAGAAAGAACAGUUAGUAGGAAUCUAUCUGAGAGACACAGUUAUCCCUAUUUUAAGUCUGAAUCUUCAGCUAACUGUAAAUCAGUAAGUAGGAAGUGGCUUUGCAUGUGUGAUUUAUGUGUAGAGAAAAUACCAUAGACGUGCCCAAAUUCUUUGUUCCUUUAAUUUCCAACUAUCUCAGGAAAACUUCAAGAAUUGUCAGCAUAACUGUAAAUCUUGGUGUGAGCAAAACUCACAUCAUUCCAUACGUCGAUUUUUCAGCUUCUUUAUUCAAGUGAAUGGUGAGCCCAGAAUAAUAAAAUAUGAUAUGAUCGGUGUCAGGAGCAGAAAGUGAACUGCUUAGCUCAGCCAAAAGGAUUAUUCAAUAAGAAUUUAAAUAACUGAACAGGCACGUAACCAUACCUGAAUUGCAGAGUGAGGUCAGCUGCUGAGAUUUGAGGCAUCACUUUUUUAUUGAUUUCAGAUAGGUGCUUAGGGCUCAUUAUGUAGCCAGUUAAAAGAAGGAGACACCAUGGUGUCAUAUUUCUUAUCCCUUAGAAAUGAAUUGCACAAGGAGAUAGUUUCAUACAGUUUCAUUUAAGAAAUUAUUAGCCGAAUCUGAAGCUAUUAGAAGUUUGUUCUGUUUGCUUCAGCAGAGUUCCGGUUUAUAUCAGCUGAGGAUAUGGUGCAUAUUUCCUUGUUUUCAGAAGGUUUCCCACAAAUCACUACAGAUACAUACUUGGGGAUACAUACUUGUGAAUGUGAACAAAGAUUUCUAACUUAGUGGUUUUUGAGGUAUCUUGUAUGUGGAAGGACUCUAAGGGCUCCCCAUCAAAUAUACGUAGGUGCAUAUUGACCAAAACACCCUGGAAAUUAUGGUGUUUAUAUCUUUGAUUUCAGAUUAGAACAUCCACUGAAAUUAGAAUGAGGCAUGUAAAAUUCUGAACAGAUCUUCUGCCAUCUGAUUCUGUGUCUGUUAGAAAAGUGAUUUUCCAGUGGAAGAAAAAAAAUGCCAUUUUAUUCAGGCUGCAGAAGCUAUUAAUCCUCCAAAAGGGCUAUUUGGAAACAGUAGCAGUCUGCUGGGUUCUUCCUUACUGCUUGUUUCAGCUGACCUGCACAGCACACUGGUACAGAUGCAUGUAUCCCUUACUCUUUUUAUGGAUGCAAGUGACACUGGCAAGUGUCAUUGCAGCAACGUCCAUCAAAAAUGUCACUCAAGAGAAACAUUUGCUAGAUCUGGCUGCCAGCAUGAGCCAAAUCAUCCCGCUGUGGGAUGUUUGUCCUUGCCUCUCCCUCUCUGAGACAAUCUUUUGGGAGCCAUAGAAGAGCUGAUAACUAGCAGUGAAUGACUUGCAGCAGAUGUCAAAUACUGUAAGACUGUUAAGUAUGGUAACUGUUAACUAAUAGCAGUUAACUUUUUACAAUGAGUUCUGAAACUCUAGAAAGUUUAUCUUUUUAUCCAUUAUCGAGGAGUCCUUACUCUAAUUUUAAGGGGGUGGACAGAGGACCUUGUGGGGACAGAGCAAGCUCAUCAGUGAGUAUAUAAUCUGAUUAAUAAACAUUCCGUACUUGCCCUUAGCCUGUAGUAUCCUGAGUUUAUUGCUAAUUAACCCUGUCACUUGUUUAUAUGAUGAUAUUUAACACAUAGUCAGGACCUUAUGACAGUAGGAAUCAGUAAGAGGCCUUCCUUUGGGUUCCCUGCAUACUGUUUGAUUCAUGCUUAUUGAGAGAGGUACAAGGCAACAUUAUGUCAGGUACAAUAAGUGAGAAAUGUAGGAGAUGGAGAGCAAAACACAGAAGAGAGAAAAGGAACAAGGACUUCUAAGACUGUUGUAACUUGCCUAAUCCUGUCGAGGUGAGUGUUUCAUGUACUGUAGCUGUGUUUUAACAUUUUUCUCCUACAGAUUACCACACUCUGUGUCUCGUCAAAUCUAUGCUGACAUUCAUAGUCUGAAAAAAUAGACCAUUGUGUGCUACAAGACUGACAAGAAAUAUGUCAAUAAAUAAAUCCAGGAAGUCAAAGCGUUCUUAACAUUUGCCUGCAUAGUCCGACUGAAGGGAACGUGCUAUGCAAAUCUAAGGCCCCAAUCCUGGUGCUGACAAUUAAUUAGCAGAUCACUGCAUCCAUGUCAACUUCCGUGGAGACAAAUAGUGCGCACUACCAACUGCUGGGUCCGGACCAAGCCAAGGGCAAGAUUUGACCCCUGAGCGGAUGAGCAGGAGCUUCCUAGAUGACCUUUCCAGCUGUCAGAGAGUGCCUCCCACCGAGUGCCUUUGAUCCUACGGAAAGGCACAAAGUGAUGCAUCACUGUUGAGGUAACUAAUUUUAGCAGCCGCAUCUGUUUAAUUGGGACUCUUAGCAGAGCAUGACUGCAGAGGGAGCCUGGAGGAAAGUAAGAGAUCACUCAACUAUGAAUUGCAAAUGUUUCAAAGCUUUGCUCUCCUCUGAAUAAAUCCUCCCAGGAACUGCGGAAGGAUUUGUGUUACUGCCGUUCCUGGCAGACCUCCCACACCUGGUUAGGAGGUUUCUUCCACUGCAAGACAAAAUAUUGAAUGACAUUGGGAUAGGAAGUUUAACAAAAAAAAAGUAUUUAAUGGAAGUAUACAAAAGAUCUAUUUAAUAGAUGGCAUUUGCUCUAACGAUACUAAAUACUUCGACCUAUACUUUCCAAAGCUGCUGAAGAGAUUUGGAUAUGCUAAGCUCAACUUAACAGUUGUUGGAGGUCCCUUAAAUAGUUCCUAAAAUCUCUUCAUAGUGUCCAGAACCUAAGCUGUCUUUGAAAAUCUCAGCCACAGAGUAGGUGGUAUAUCAGUUGUUCCCUGUUUAUGUCUCAUAUGACAAAGAACUGUGUCUAUCAUUAUUAUCUGUUAUCUUUUUAUCAGUCUUGGGUGCCACUGAUAUUUCUGAUAGAGCAGUUGGUGAGAGGCACUGCUGAAAAAGUAAUAGUACAUUUACUUGUAGUAUUUACAUGUAAUAUUAUGUGUAAAAUAUAAAAGGCAAAGCUGAUAUAGAAUUAUGUUAGGAAGUUGGCUCUGAAUUCACCAUCUUUCUCAUAUUAAAAAUUAACAUUAUUUCAUUACCGCACCAAAUGUACCUUUGUCUGUUUCCUUGUCCUUGAAGAAUAUGCUGCUGCUGCCUAAUCAAGAGCUGGAUAUAAACUAUUCCAUCAAUGUGUCUCUAUGUCUACUUUAUAAUACAAUAUUCGUUCUUACGUAUUUACUUAUGGAAGAUAUACUGCUUCUGCAUUUUGGGACGGAGUGUCAAAAGCUAAGAUGUGAACGUACAUCUGAUUUGGAUUAGAUUUACAGACUGUUAUGAAAAGCAAUAGAAGAAUAAAGAGGCAUUGCUUAUAACCUGGAGCAAUUUGAUUUCAAAUUUUGCAUCCAAAACCCAAAUUGUUAUUCUCUUCUGAAAAUAAGUAAAGGUUGGCAGCACUCACGGUUAUGUGCAAGUGACAGUAUUCUUUGUAGAAAGGGAUUUUUAUAGAA
Molecule: long non-coding RNA, 12356 nt
Organism: Dromaius novaehollandiae (emu)
Lineage: Eukaryota; Metazoa; Chordata; Aves; Casuariiformes; Dromaiidae
Exons: 5
Source: RefSeq, a predicted model, not a curated record